CAUUGGUCUGAGAGGAUGAUCAGUCACACUGGAACUGAGACACGGUCCAGACUCCUACGGGAGGCAGCAGUGGGGAAUAUUGGACAAUGGGCGAAAGCCUGAUCCAGCCAUGCCGCGUGUGUGAAGAAGGUCUUCGGAUUGUAAAGCACUUUAAGUUGGGAGGAAGGGCAGUUACCUAAUACGUGAUUGUUUUGACGUUACCGACAGAAUAAGCACCGGCUAACUCUGUGCCAGCAGCCGCGGUAAUACAGAGGGUGCAAGCGUUAAUCGGAAUUACUGGGCGUAAAGCGCGCGUAGGUGGUUUGUUAAGUUGGAUGUGAAAUCCCCGGGCUCAACCUGGGAACUGCAUUCAAAACUGACUGACUAGAGUAUGGUAGAGGGUGGUGGAAUUUCCUGUGUAGCGGUGAAAUGCGUAGAUAUAGGAAGGAACACCAGUGGCGAAGGCGACCACCUGGACUAAUACUGACACUGAGGUGCGAAAGCGUGGGAGCAAACAGGAUUAGAUACCCUGGUAGUCCACGCCGUAAACGAUGUCAACUAGCCGUUGGAAGCCUUGAGCUUUUAGUGGCGCAGCUAACGCAUUAAGUUGACCGCCUGGGGAGUACGGCCGCAAGGUUAAAACUCAAAUGAAUUGACGGGGGCCCGCACAAGCGGUGGAGCAUGUGGUUUAAUUCGAAGCAACGCGAAGAACCUUACCAGGCCUUGACAUCCAAUGAACUUUCUAGAGAUAGAUUGGUGCCUUCGGGAACAUUGAGACAGGUGCUGCAUGGCUGUCGUCAGCUCGUGUCGUGAGAUGUUGGGUUAAGUCCCGUAACGAGCGCAACCCUUGUCCUUAGUUACCAGCACGUCAUGGUGGGCACUCUAAGGAGACUGCCGGUGACAAACCGGAGGAAGGUGGGGAUGACGUCAAGUCAUCAUGGCCCUUACGGCCUGGGCUACACACGUGCUACAAUGGUCGGUACAGAGGGUUGCCAAGCCGCGAGGUGGAGCUAAUCCCACAAAACCGAUCGUAGUCCGGAUCGCAGUCUGCAACUCGACUGCGUGAAGUCGGAAUCGCUAGUAAUCGCGAAUCAGAAUGUCGCGGUGAAUACGUUCCCGGGCCUUGUACACACCGCCCGUCACACCAUGGGAGUGGGUUGCACCAGAAGUAGCUAGUCUAACCUUCGGGAGGACGGUUACCACGGUGUGAUUCAUGACUGGGGUGAAGUCGUAACAAGGUAGCCGUAGGGGAACCUGCGGCUG
RNAcentral lists this ribosomal RNA (1242 nucleotides) under metagenome. RNAcentral's name for it is "bacterial SSU rRNA". It matches the Rfam family "Bacterial small subunit ribosomal RNA", at positions 284 to 1520 of the family's 1533-position model. The record is from RNAcentral.